RNAcentral lists this ribosomal RNA (497 nucleotides) under uncultured bacterium. RNAcentral describes it as "partial 16S ribosomal RNA". It matches the Rfam family "Bacterial small subunit ribosomal RNA", at positions 28 to 507 of the family's 1533-position model. The record is from RNAcentral.
GACGAACGCUGGCGGCGUGCCUAAUACAUGCAAGUUGAGCGCUGAAGGUUGGUACUUGUACCAACUGGAUGAGCAGCGAACGGGUGAGUAACGCGUGGGGAAUCUGCCUUUGAGCGGGGGACAACAUUUGGAAACGAAUGCUAAUACCGCAUAAAAACUUUAAACACAAGUUUUAAGUUUGAAAGAUGCAAUUGCAUCACUCAAAGAUGAUCCCGCGUUGUAUUAGCUAGUUGGUGAGGUAAAGGCUCACCAAGGCGAUGAUACAUAGCCGACCUGAGAGGGUGAUCGGCCACCUUGGGACUGAGACACGGCCCAAACUCCUACGGGAGGCAGCAGUAGGGGAUCUUCGGCAAUGGACGAAAGUCUGACCGAGCAACGCCGCGUGAGUGAAGAAGGUUUUCGGAUCGUAAAACUCUGUUGGUAGAGAAGAACGUUGGUGAGAGUGGAAAGCUCAUCAAGUGACGGUAACUACCCAGAAAGGGACGGCUAACUACGUG